RNAcentral lists this ribosomal RNA (588 nucleotides) under Carabus dufouri baguenai. RNAcentral's name for it is "partial large subunit ribosomal RNA". It matches the Rfam family "Bacterial large subunit ribosomal RNA", at positions 1923 to 2748 of the family's 2925-position model. The record is from RNAcentral. Lineage: Eukaryota; Metazoa; Arthropoda; Insecta; Coleoptera; Carabidae.
UUAAAUGGCCGCAGUAUUUUGACUGUGCAAAGGUAGCAUAAUCAUUAGUUUUUUAAUUAAAAGCUUGUAUGAAAGGCUGGACGAGGUAAAAUCUGUCUCUAUUUAAAUUAUAGUAGAAUUUAACUUUUAAGUUAAAAGGCUUAAAUAUUAUUAAAAGACGAGAAGACCCUAUAGAUCUUUAUAGUUUAUUAAAUUAAAUUAAUUUAGAAAUAUUAAUGUUUUAUUUAGUUAAGUUAUUUUAUUGGGGUAAUAAAAAGAUUGAAUUAAUUCUUUUUUAUAAUAAACAUUAAUUUAUGAAUAUUAAUGAUCCAGUUUUACUGAUUAUAAGAUUAAGUUACCUUAGGGAUAACAGCGUAAUUUUUUUAGAGAGUUCAUAUCGAUAAAAAAGUUUGCGACCUCGAUGUUGGAUUAAAGAUUAUUUUAGGUGUAGAAGCUUAAUAAUUUUGGUCUGUUCGACCAUUAAAUCUUUACAUGAUCUGAGUUCAGACCGGCGUAAGCCAGGUCGGUUUCUAUCUUUAAUAAAAUAAAAUAUUUUAGUACGAAAGGACCAAAUAUUUGAUAUAUUUAUAUUUAAUUUAUUGAAUAUUA